CGAACGCUGGCGGCGUGCUUAACACAUGCAAGUCGAACGGAAAGGCCCUGCUUUUGUGGGGUGCUCGAGUGGCGAACGGGUGAGUAACACGUGAGUAACCUGCCCUUGACUUUGGGAUAACUUCAGGAAACUGGGGCUAAUACCGGAUAGGAGCUCCUGCUGCAUGGUGGGGGUUGGAAAGUUUCGGCGGUUGGGGAUGGACUCGCGGCUUAUCAGCUUGUUGGUGGGGUAGCGGCUUACCAAGGCUUUGACGGGUAGCCGGCCUGAGAGGGUGACCGGCCACAUUGGGACUGAGAUACGGCCCAGACUCCUACGGGAGGCAGCAGUGGGGAAUAUUGCACAAUGGGCGGAAGCCUGAUGCAGCAACGCCGCGUGCGGGAUGACGGCCUUCGGGUUGUAAACCGCUUUCGCCUGUGACGAAGCGUGAGUGACGGUAAUGGGUAAAGAAGCACCGGCUAACUACGUGCCAGCAGCCGCGGUGAUACGUAGGGUGCGAGCGUUGUCCGGAUUUAUUGGGCGUAAAGGGCUCGUAGGUGGUUGAUCGCGUCGGAAGUGUAAUCUUGGGGCUUAACCCUGAGCGUGCUUUCGAUACGGGUUGACUUGAGGAAGGUAGGGGAGAAUGGAAUUCCUGGUGGAGCGGUGGAAUGCGCAGAUAUCAGGAGGAACACCAGUGGCGAAGGCGGUUCUCUGGGCCUUUCCUGACGCUGAGGAGCGAAAGCGUGGGGAGCGAACAGGCUUAGAUACCCUGGUAGUCCACGCUGUAAACGGUGGGUACUAGGUGUGGGGUCCAUUCCACGGGUUCCGUGCCGUAGCUAACGCUUUAAGUACCCCGCCUGGGGAGUACGGCCGCAAGGCUAAAACUCAAAGGAAUUGACGGGGCCCCGCACAAGCGGCGGAGCAUGCGGAUUAAUUCGAUGCAACGCGUAGAACCUUACCUGGGUUUGACAUGGAUCGGGAGCGCUCAGAGAUGGGUGUGCCUCUUUUGGGGUCGGUUCACAGGUGGUGCAUGGCUGUCGUCAGCUCGUGUCGUGAGAUGUUGGGUUAAGUCCCGCAACGAGCGCAACCCUUGUUCACUGUUGCCAGCACGUUAUGGUGGGGACUCAGUGGAGACCGCCGGGGUCAACUCGGAGGAAGGUGGGGAUGACGUCAAGUCAUCAUGCCCCUUAUGUCCAGGGCUUCACGCAUGCUACAAUGGCUGGUACAGAGAGUGGCGAGCCUGUGAGGGUGAGCGAAUCUCGGAAAGCCGGUCUCAGUUCGGAUUGGGGUCUGCAACUCGACCUCAUGAAGUCGGAGUCGCUAGUAAUCGCAGAUCAGCAACGCUGCGGUGAAUACGUUCCCGGGGCUUGUACACACCGCCCGUCAAGUCAUGAAAGUUGGUAACACCCGAAGCCGGUGGCCUAACCGUUGUGGGGGAGCCGUCGAAGGUGGGACUGGUGAUUAGG
RNAcentral lists this ribosomal RNA (1442 nucleotides) under uncultured organism. RNAcentral describes it as "16S ribosomal RNA". It matches the Rfam family "Bacterial small subunit ribosomal RNA". The record is from RNAcentral.